This 379-nucleotide long non-coding RNA is filed under the name Oryctolagus cuniculus (rabbit). RNAcentral's name for it is "lncRNA (ENSOCUG00000037533.1)". The record is from RNAcentral. Lineage: Eukaryota; Metazoa; Chordata; Mammalia; Lagomorpha; Leporidae.
UGUAGGCUGGAUCUGUGUCUGCCUUGAAAUGGAAAAGAUAUUCAGGGAGAAAGAGUUGUUACACUGUGUUUUUAAUUCGCUAAGGAGCUGUCUGGAUGUUUGCCAUUUCAGGACGAGAAAGGUCCCAUAGUUCUGUUGGAGAAAAAAGUGGGAGUUGAGUGAUUGGCCACGUUCCCUUCAAGUCGCUGUUUCACGUGUCACUACAGAGUCGUCAUCUCUGUUAUUCCCUCUGGAAAGGAAUAUAAAAAUGUUCUUCCGUGUGUUGCAAAGAGUCAUAAUUCAGCGCCCGGAACAUCAGCCUUGUCAACCUCCAACCGCUCACAGAAGGAAAAUUAAGAGUUUCACGUGAUGCGAUUGAACAUAUGGUUGAGAGAUACUU